GACGAACGCUGGCGGCGUGCUUAACACAUGCAAGUCGAACGAUGAAGUUCCUUCGGGAAUGGAUUAGUGGCGAACGGGUGAGGAACACGUGAGAAACCUGCCUUUCAUUUUGGGAUAACUCCGGGAAACCGGGGCUAACACCGAAUACUCCGUCUCGGCGGCAUCGCUGAGCCGGGAAAAAAUUUUGAUGAAAGAUGGUCUCGCGGCCUAUCAGCUAGUUGGUGAGGUAAUGGCUCACCAAGGCAACGACGGGUAGCCGGCCGGAGAGGGCGACCGGCCACACUGGGACUGAGACACGGCCCAGACUCCUACGGGAGGCAGCAGUGGGGAAUAUUGGGCAAUGGGCGCAAGCCUGACCCAGCGACGCCGCGUGAGGGAUGAAGGCCUUCGGGUUGUAAACCUCUUUCAGUAGGGAAGAAGCGAAAGUGACGGUACCUAAAGAAGAAGCACCGGCUAACUAUGUGCCAGCAGCCGCAGUAA
This 480-nucleotide ribosomal RNA is filed under the name uncultured bacterium. Its description in RNAcentral is "partial 16S ribosomal RNA". It matches the Rfam family "Bacterial small subunit ribosomal RNA", at positions 28 to 523 of the family's 1533-position model. The record is from RNAcentral.